RNAcentral lists this ribosomal RNA (433 nucleotides) under uncultured bacterium. Its description in RNAcentral is "partial 16S ribosomal RNA". It matches the Rfam family "Bacterial small subunit ribosomal RNA", at positions 29 to 507 of the family's 1533-position model. The record is from RNAcentral.
AACGAACGCUGGCGGCAUGCCUAACACAUGCAAGUCGAACGAGACCUUCGGGUCUAGUGGCGCACGGGUGCGUAACGCGUGGGAAUCUGCCCUUGGGUUCGGAAUAACAGUUGGAAACGACUGCUAAUACCGGAUGAUGACGUAAGUCCAAAGAUUUAUCGCCCAAGGAUGAGCCCGCGUAGGAUUAGCUAGUUGGUGAGGUAAAGGCUCACCAAGGCGACGAUCCUUAGCUGGUCUGAGAGGAUGAUCAGCCACACUGGGACUGAGACACGGCCCAGACUCCUACGGGAGGCAGCAGUGGGGAAUAUUGGACAAUGGGCGAAAGCAUGAUCCAGCAAUGCCGCGUGAGUGAUGAAGGCCUUAGGGUUGUAAAGCUCUUUUACCCGGGAUGAUAAUGACAGUACCGGGAGAAUAAGCUCCGGCUAACUCCGUG